This 958-nucleotide long non-coding RNA is filed under the name Marmota monax (woodchuck). The record is from RNAcentral. Lineage: Eukaryota; Metazoa; Chordata; Mammalia; Rodentia; Sciuridae.
GCUAUUGGUCCCAAUUUAUGCUAAUUAGGGUUUGAAAAACAGUAACGCCCCAAACCCAUUCUGGGUUUUCCUCACUUUCAUUUUCUGUAUGCUUUGGGGAACCAGAGGUUCAAGUCAUUGAAUUGUGCAUGCUCUUGGUGUGUUUGGAACUGCAGGGCUGUGUGGAGUGUGCUUCUGCAGUGGGCAUCACCCAUGUGUGCAGGCGGGGCUCUUGCAGGGUGAUGGAUCAGCUUGCCCCAGCUCACCUCAGUGCUGACGGAUGCUCCAACUUACGUGGUCCAUCACUCUCCUGUUUGCUGGAACUUGUUGUCAGUGACCAGUAGGAUGACUGUCUAGCUUGGCAUCUGGGGAGUAAUGACAACAGGCAGAGUAUACCUUGAUGUAUUGUUAGUUGAAGUUGAAAAGGGUACCAUGACUUCUUUCCCUAGAAACCAAGCCUUGUUCACCUAUGCAGGAAGGCCUUGGCCGUGCUGAAUAUUUGUCCAGCCUGGCUAUCUAGCCUCUUCCACAGAAUCUGAAAACAGCUAUCUAAGAAAAGUGCCAUCUCCCUGGCCAAUUCUAGAAAAUACUUUAAUGGUUCAGAAGAGUGGAGACUCCAAAGCAGCUCUCCUUCUAAAUGAGACAGAAGAGAAAGGGCCAACAUUCUCCAGGAGGCAUUAAAAAAAAAAAACUUUGGGGUGCUGGGGUUGUGGCUCAGUGAUAAAGUGCUUGCCUAGCAUAUGUGAGGUCCUGAGUUCAAUCCCAACUACCACCAAAAAAGAAAAAAGGAAAGGAAAAAAAAUUGGUUUCUUUGUCUUUGACAUCCAUGGCUGACCCAGUUAUGUCACUGUGACGUAGAAUUGUCUUUGGACACAGAUAUAUUUGAGAUGACUCCAUCCUUCAGUCUCUUUUGAUGAUACCACCAUUUUGAAUCUCCUCAGCUGUCCUUUGUCUGCUAUAUCAGGAGCCUCUUCCCUAC